AACGCUGGCGGCAGGCUUAACACAUGCAAGUCGAGCGGGGAAAGGUAGCUUGCUACCUGACCUAGCGGCGGACGGGUGAGUAAUGCUUAGGAAUCUGCCUAUUAGUGGGGGACAACAUUCCAAAAGGAAUGCUAAUACCGCAUACGCCCUACGGGGGAAAGCAGGGGAUCUUCGGACCUUGCGCUAAUAGAUGAGCCUAAGUCAGAUUAGCUAGUUGGUGGGGUAAAGGCCUACCAAGGCGACGAUCUGUAGCGGGUCUGAGAGGAUGAUCCGCCACACUGGGACUGAGACACGGCCCAGACUCCUACGGGAGGCAGCAGUGGGGAAUAUUGGACAAUGGGCGAAAGCCUGAUCCAGCCAUGCCGCGUGUUUGAAGAAGGCCUUUUGGUUGUAAAGCACUUUAAGCGAGGAGGAGGCUACUUAGAUUAAUACUCUAGGAUAGUGGACGUUACUCGCAGAAUAAGCACCGGCUAACUCUGUGCCAGCAGCCGCGGUAAUACAGAGGGUGCGAGCGUUAAUCGGAUUUACUGGGCGUAAAGCGUGCGUAGGCGGCUUUUUAAGUCGGAUGUGAAAUCCCUGAGCUUAACUUAGGAAUUGCAUUCGAUACUGGGAAGCUAGAGUAUGGGAGAGGAUGGUAGAAUUCCAGGUGUAGCGGUGAAAUGCGUAGAGAUCUGGAG
RNAcentral lists this ribosomal RNA (677 nucleotides) under uncultured bacterium. Its description in RNAcentral is "bacterial SSU rRNA". It matches the Rfam family "Bacterial small subunit ribosomal RNA", at positions 32 to 703 of the family's 1533-position model. The record is from RNAcentral.